This 468-nucleotide ribosomal RNA is filed under the name uncultured bacterium. Its description in RNAcentral is "partial 16S ribosomal RNA". It matches the Rfam family "Bacterial small subunit ribosomal RNA", at positions 28 to 507 of the family's 1533-position model. The record is from RNAcentral.
GACGAACGCUGGCGGCGUGCUUAACACAUGCAAGUCGAACGGAAAGGCCCUGCUUUUGUGGGGUGCUCGAGUGGCGAACGGGUGAGUAACACGUGAGUAACCUGCCCUUGACUUUGGGAUAACGUCAGGAAACUGGGGCUAAUACCGGAUAGGAGCUCCCGUUGCAUGGUGGGGGUUGGAAAGUUUCGGCGGUUGGGGAUGGACUCGCGGCUUAUCAGCUUGUUGGUGGGGUAGUGGCUUACCAAGGCUUUGACGGGUAGCCGGCCUGAGAGGGUGACCGGCCACAUUGGGACUGAGAUACGGCCCAGACUCCUACGGGAGGCAGCAGUGGGAAGUAUUGCACAAUGGGCGGAAGCCUGAUGCAGAAGCGCCGCGUGCGGGAUGACGGCCUUCGGGUUGUGAACCGCUUUAGCCUGUGACGAAGCGUGAGUGACGGUAAUGGGUAAAGAAGCACCGGCUAACUACGUG